This 577-nucleotide long non-coding RNA is filed under the name Mustela putorius furo (domestic ferret). Its description in RNAcentral is "lncRNA (ENSMPUG00000026739.1)". Lineage: Eukaryota; Metazoa; Chordata; Mammalia; Carnivora; Mustelidae. The record is from RNAcentral.
UUGCUUUGUCCAUGCAGCUCAGAGUCCUGGGAGUAAUUAUGGUUCAAAGGCCUGGGUAAUAACUCCUCAGUAACUGAGUGCUUGCUACAAGUUUCAUGGGUGUGGGUAGAAUAGAAUUUGGAUUUAAUUUGAGAAUUUUAAGGGAGGAUUACAUAUUUUAAUAGUAUUUUCUAAGUAUCUGCUAUGAGACUAGUGGGUUAGGGGGGCAGUGGGAACACCUCGGAGGCUCACAACCUUGAUGUGAAUCAGACACAAGUGUCUGGCCUCUGGGACCGUGACCGUGACUGUGCAGCACAGAGGAGAAGGCUGUGAACCCUGAUGCCAGGCUUCCUCUACUGCCCAGCCAGGGUGAACUCAGACCCCAAGCUGAUUCUCAGACGAUGCCACUGCCAUUCAUAAUUCAAGCUUUCAGCAAGGUAAGCCCCUUUGGCUCGUAACAGAAUUCAUCUGGCUGAUAACGGGCUGAUAACUGGAUCUUACCCAUCUCCCCCCAUCCCCACCCCAAGCCAUCACAAUGCCAGGCUCCUGCCAAUUGAAUUAGGUGCUAUUGGUAUAGACAGACCAUCAAAGUCCCAGG